CCGCGAGACCGCUCCGUCUGCAGAUCCCGGCGGGGGGGGCGGCGCCGGGACCCCCCCUGGGCCCCGUCCUGGGGCAGGUGGGGAUUUCCGGGGCUCUUUGAGGCCCUUCUUGAGGCUUGUUGGGGCUCGUGGGGGCCUAUCGAGGCCUGUCGAGGCCUGUUGGGGUCUGUCGAGCCUAUCGAGGCCUAUUGGGACCUAUCGGAGCCUAUUGGGGCUUAUCGAGGCCUAUCGGGACCUGUCGAGGCCUGUCAGGACCUGUUGGGGCUUAUUGAGGCCUGUCGGGGCCUGUCGGGGCCUGUCGAAGCCUGUUGGGGCUUAUCGCAGCCUAUCGUGGCCUAUUGGGGUCUAUUGGGGCCUAUUGGGACCUAUCGCGGCCUAUUGGGGUCUAUCGCGGCCUGUCGGGACCUAUCGCAGCCUAUCAAGGCCUAUUGAGGCCUAUCGAGGCUUAUCGAGGCCUAUCACGGCCUAUUGGGACCUAUUGCGGCCUAUCGAGGUCUGUUGGGACCUAUCGCGGCCUAUCGAGGUCUCUUGGGGCCUAUCGAGGCCUAUCGGGGCCUAUCGCGGCCUAUCGAGGUCUAUUGGGGCCUGUCGAGGCCUAUCGGGGCCUAUUGGGGUCUAUCAAGCCUAUAGGGGCCUAUCGAGGCCUAUUGAGGCCUAUUGGGGUCUAUUGGGGCCUAUCAGGACCUAUCGUGGCCUGUCGAGGCCUAUUGGGGUCUAUCAAGGCCUAUUGGGGUCUAUUGGGGCCUAUUGGGGUCUAUCGAGGCCUAUAGGGUCCUAUCGAGGCCUAUUGAGGCCUAUUGGGGCCUAUUGGGGCCUAUUGGGGCCUAUCGGGGCCUAUCGAGGCCUAUUGAGGCCUGUUGGGGUCUAUUGGGGUCUAUCGAGCCUAUCGAGGCCUAUUGGGGUCUAUCAAGCCUAUAGGGGCCUCUCGAGGCCUAUUGAGGCCUAUUGGGGUCUAUUGGGGCCUAUUGGGACCUAUUGCAGCUUAUCGAGGCCUAUUGGGGUCUAUCAAGGCCUAUCGGGGCUUAUUGGGAAUUAUCGGGGCCUAUCGCGGCCUAUCGAGGUCUAUUGGGGCCUGUCGAGGCCUAUUGGGGCAUAUUGGGGUCUAUCAAGCCUAUAGGGGCCUAUCGAGGCCUAUUGGGGUCUAUUGGGGCCUAUUGGGACCUAUCGCGGCCUAUUGAGGCCUAUUGGGGUCUAUCAAGGCCUAUUGGGGCUUAUUGAGAACUAUCGCGGCCUAUCGCGGCCUAUCAAGGUCUAUUGGGGUCUAUCGAGGCCUAUUGAGGCCUAUUGGGGUCUAUUGGGGCCUAUUGGGGCCUAUCGCGGCCUAUCGAGGCCUAUAGGGUCCUAUCGAGGCCUAUUGAGGCCUAUUGGGGUCUAUUG
Molecule: long non-coding RNA, 1377 nt
Organism: Numida meleagris (helmeted guineafowl)
Lineage: Eukaryota; Metazoa; Chordata; Aves; Galliformes; Numididae
Source: Ensembl